Molecule: small RNA, 282 nt
Filed under: Vigna angularis var. angularis
Lineage: Eukaryota; Viridiplantae; Streptophyta; Magnoliopsida; Fabales; Fabaceae
Description: Non-protein coding transcript
Source: RNAcentral
AUUGUUACUCUUUUCGGUAGCUCUUCGUAGUUUCUACCUCCUUUCUUCUCUCUAUUCCCGCCACUUUUCUGCUAAUAGUGGAGAAGGAGAUGACUGAGGAGAAAUCAGAGCAGCUUUGUUUGAAGAAUAAGCAAAUCGAUGCUGCUUCUAGUUCUUCUGUAUCAGAUGGAAAUGGCAGUGCUAUUCCCUCAUCAUCAAGGAAAACGGGAUCAGCAUUGCCGUGUAAUAGGAGGACCACUGGUCCUGUUAGACGGGUAAAGGAUGGUUGGACGGAAAAGGAGG